CCAUUUGCGUUGGGAAAAAGGAUACGCAUUUGUUAUAAGCAUAAAAGUAAAUAACACAUUAAAGGUUUGUUGGCAUCUUCUUUUGAGGUAACUUUAUUUUAUUUGCUUCAGGAAAAGCAUGCAUACGCGUUUUUUAAAGAAUGAUUACUUUCUUGGCAAUUUCUUUCGGUUCUUUUUAUUGAUUGAGUACUUGACUUCUUUUUUCACAAGAAGAAAUUCAGUUCAACACGUUUAAUGAUUGUCUUGUGGAAAAUAAGUUGUAGCUUGUGGAAAAUAAGCUCUAGGACUACUGAUUGUCUUGUGGAAAAUAAGUUGUAGCUUGUGGAAAAUAAGCUCUAGGACUACUCUUGUGGAAAAAUAUGCCCUCCACUCUGUGUGUAUCCUCUGAGUAGGAAUUGGUCUAGGGAUAGCCGAUUGAGUGUUUCUCUCCAAUGAGAUCUGAAGAUCAUAAACAAUUUUUUUUUUUUCUUUUUGCAGCAGUAUUAGCAUUAUGAAUGUUUAUACUCUCUCUCUCUCUCUCUCUCUCUCUCUCUCUCACACACACACAUUAGUAAGAAAAAAAAAGUGUAGUGUCAUGGUGGUCCAAGGUCUGCAUGCAUCCAUUCAAUUAAUACAAGAUGGAAUAAAGAGGUAUAAGAAUGUUUCCCACAGAUGAUCAGUUAGAGGCGAUACAUCUUCACCAGAUUGUGCAUGCCAUCUACUAUGGGAACAUUCAUUAUAAACAUUUUUGCAGCAGCUUAGGAAAAAAUCUUUGAAGCAUGCUAAGUUAACAGAAGACCAAGAAGUAUGAAAAAACAGAAGACCAAGCUUCGUAGUUUAUUGUUGUGUAUUGGAGUUUGAUUAAAUCAAUGUGUGUUUUGUAAUGAUCUUAGCAAAUUAGUUCAAACAAUGUAAUAUGUAGUGGAGGCCCAUUUAAUCUCAUGAAUCAUGAGGGGAAAUAAUGUAACUGAAAAGAACUUUUUGUGGGAAAUGGACGUCGUUGAUAUAUUUUGGCUUCACUCACAGUCCUAAUAUUUGUUGAAACUUGCUCUGCCUUGGACUUA
Carya illinoinensis is the source of this 1043-nucleotide long non-coding RNA. RefSeq lists it as uncharacterized. The transcript has 2 exons. NCBI's taxonomy places the organism in Eukaryota, Viridiplantae, Streptophyta, Magnoliopsida, Fagales, Juglandaceae. The record is from RefSeq and is a predicted model, not a curated record.